GAGUGGGCCCGUUUCGGUUUCCCCCAAUUGUGCCGCCGAUCUUUCGCACUGAGAAUUAGGGUUUUGAUUAGGUUUGGACCAUUGUUUGCACUUUGCAGGCGAUUCGUGUGCUUUGGAUGAUGAGAAUUUUAGAAAUGCACGUAGGGAGGCAGAGCAUUACAGUGUGAGGAUCAGUCAGACGCUGGAGGAGCGCGAGGCGAGGCCCAUUGUCCACUUGAGGAAAUUCAACGAUUGGUACCUAAAGAGCCUGAGUGAGCUGAACUUACGUGAAGACUUGGUGCACUAGGCGGUGAAAUCAGGAUCAGAGUAAGAUCCUUGUUUCUCAGCUUUCACGUCGCUAAGGUUGGACUGAUGCAGGCACAUAAUCCCUAGAGGAGUGGGAUUUGGCGUUCGUGUUGAGGAAGACAGGCCGGCCAAGUUCAAUUAGGAGGAACAGCAGCACAAACAAAGGAAAAAUGUACAUUAUGGAGGAUGACAUCGAGUUUUUCAGUAUCUGAUGUGAAUCUUAAGUUCCACCUUGCCUUUUCAACUUACUAGCGAGCAAAUAGGCAACUCAAUUUUUUUGAAUCUUUCGACGUCAUGUUUCUGAAGGAUUAUUAUUUUCCUGCACAACUUGAAGCGAACAAUCUAGAUCAGACCAUUUGUGCGUUUACACGGAUUGGUUUGUGUAAUUGCUAUGAGUUAAAGUGUAUACCCAUUUUCUUGUUAGGUGCCUAAAACAUUUGUCAUUUUUGUGUAUUAAUUUGUUUCAAGAGAUGCUCAAGUUUGUAUGCUGAGACUUUCAAACGGAUAUACCUAGAUUUUAAGAGAA
Zingiber officinale is the source of this 811-nucleotide long non-coding RNA. RefSeq lists it as uncharacterized. The record is from RefSeq and is a predicted model, not a curated record. The transcript has 3 exons. Lineage: Eukaryota; Viridiplantae; Streptophyta; Magnoliopsida; Zingiberales; Zingiberaceae.